Passer domesticus (house sparrow) is the source of this 2532-nucleotide long non-coding RNA. RefSeq lists it as uncharacterized. The transcript is spliced from 3 exons. NCBI's taxonomy places the organism in Eukaryota, Metazoa, Chordata, Aves, Passeriformes, Passeridae. The record is from RefSeq and is a predicted model, not a curated record.
CUCCCCUCAUGGCUUCCCACCCUCAGAAAUCCUCAAAAGGGUGGGAAGCUGCGUGGUGCGCCUACUUCUCGCUCUUUUGAGGGCUUCCGAGGGUGUGCAGCUGCGAGGGGACGGUGUUCCCACACUUUGAGAGGUCUCUUGGCCCCUUUCCUCAGGGCUGGUCGGCUGUGAGGGUGCAGCGGAGCGCUGGCUCCUCAGGGCUGCCGAGCGGUGCUGGCGUUCUCCCGGAGGGUUGGGGGGUCUUUCCUGGCCCUGAACGCAGAGUGCUUGGGAAGAGCUCCCUCCCUCACCUUCCUCAGGAAAGUAAAAUUUGGUGGUUUAAGUAGAGUAGCGUUCUGAGGGGCUGUUCAUGGCCGAUCCGUGUCGCCUCCUUGCCUCCUCUUGCGGCUGCUUUUCUUUCGGCUGUGGCUCUGGGUGAGAGUGCCUGCUUUCAAAGAGCUCACUUGGCUUUUCAGGAGAAUCCUGCUUCGUGCCUAUUCAAGGCACCUUUUACAGCCUCUGCUGGCCUGCAGUUCUCAAUAAAAGCACAGGAGGCAGUGAGUUUGUCCCAUGACAUUCAGAACAGCUGAGGUUUGACCCCCAUGCUUUACUGAAAGUGUGUCCUGUGUUUCCUUGCCUUAUUCAUGCUGUAAUUUUGUGUGUAUAUAACAGCAGUAAAUCCACAGUGUCACUGUAAAAUGUCUCUGGUAGGUGCCAACUUCACCAUUUUCAGGCGCUGUCUAUGUUGCUGUGCCACUGAAAGAAGCUGAUACCUAGAUACCAGAGACAGGGUAAAGGAGCUCCUGUGUGAUCUUCCAGUCCCUUUAGAUCUUAUAGGAAGGAUGUGACAUGUUCAAAUUAUACUGCUGCUCUGGUGAUCUUUGGCUUUCAGGAUCUGCUUCAGCAACUUGGAGUAGCGCAAGAGCUGAACGCUGCCCACCUCAGCCUAAAUCACAGAUGUGUGCCUACAUAUUGGCAAUAAUAAUUAUGAGACAUUUCUUGCUAUAGUAAAAGAGAGUGGAUAUAGCACCCUUUGAAUGCAGUCUGUGCAAGAACAAUUUAAAAUAAAUUAUUCUUUCUAUCACAGAAGAAAAUGGUAACAAAAAAUGAACACAUUUCACAAUAUUUUCCUUGUUACUGGUUCCUGUGAAUAAUUUUGAAUCAAUGCUAACAACUGAGUGUUAGAAGACAUGACAAAAUUCUACUAAGAUCCUGGUGGGUUUCACAAGAAAGAAUUUUAUAGUUAAUAAGAUAAAGUGUAUAGUAAAAUUAGCUUGCCCUACAGCAAUUUCCAUUACAAUUAGGUGUCAUUAUUAAUGCAGUGUUGAAACAGUUUGCAUAAGAAAUCCAGAGAAUUAAUAUUUUAUUGUCACUAAUACACUUUGAUUUCAGUGCAUGUUUUUCUGACUGGAGCAAGGGAAGAGUAGUUUUUAACAGUGUUUCUUCCAUAUGAGUAGGCAAAUAUUAAUCACUUUCUCAGGAAACCCCCAGGGGAACGUGCACAUGGUCAAAGCUUAUUUUCAGACUUCUUUCUCAUUCAGGUUUGUUCUGAUUAACAUCAUGUGAGCCUUUUCCUGUAAAUUCAGCAUGUAAAAUCUUGUUCUGCCAAAGCUCAAGGCACAAAAUCCCUGGUUAUAUUUGGAAUGAAAUUCUGACCCUAUUAAUAAUCAAAGGUUUGAAAAAUGCCCAUGUGCUGAAUGUGAUCCGAACAUAGAAGCUCAUUCCACAUAACUAAUUCCUAACAGCUCAUCACUGGAGUCCUUUUCAGUAGCUGGAGGCCACCCAGCCUCAGGAAACCUUCACCUGUGUAACUUUAUCAAAGCAGUCACGUGGACUUUGGUGAUUACUCACAGUGGCUGAUGGAAUUUGACACAGUAAAGGAAUCUGUCAAAUAAAAAUCACAGCAGAAGGGAGUGGUUUUGUAUUUCAGAGUAGAGCUAAGGCAGAGAGAUUGGUGUGCUUUGCUGCUGGAUGUAUAAAAGCUGGAACCUGGCUAUGGAAAGCAUCAGCAGAAACUAAACUCGUUGUGAAACCACAGAAAUGGAUUAAUGACUAUGAUCCCUACAAACCCCUGACUUAAAAACAGGCACAAAACUUGUUUGAGGUCAGUGAGUCAGUGGAAGAAAUAGUCUGAUAGUGUUGUUGUUUUACAUGAUUCAUUUAUUCGUCACAGAUACUUCAAGUGUUUCCUUUCUUGCUGGGUAUUUUGCGUUAAGAUGACUUGGAAGUAGUGUUAGCUCUGCAAUUACCUUCUCUGAUCACCAAUAAAAACAACAGUUUUAUGUCCUACAGUAAUUUCCAUGAAGCUAUGAUUUCAUAGCUAUUUAACUGUAAGACUAGUUAGUAAGGCAUUGUUUAUUGAAUUCUACUGCAGCCAUAAAGAAGGCUAUUUGUUUGAAAGAUAAAAAUGCUAUUGCUUUGAGUUGCCAUUGAAGAGAGAAUACCUUAUCACUGCAGCUGUAACUACAAUAUUUACUCUCCAAAAAAUCCUUUGCUACUUUCCCUCUUUAGUUUUUUCUAAGCUGAUAUAAAAAUAAGUAACAUUCGGAGGUU